GUUAAGAUGGUCAAGUUCGUCUAAGGUGCCAGUUUUAGGUACAGGUUUGAAAAGGGAUGGGUUCAAAUCCCAUUCUUGACA
This 81-nucleotide transfer RNA is filed under the name Ipomoea nil (Japanese morning glory). It matches the Rfam family "tRNA". From Rfam's summary of the family: Transfer RNA (tRNA) molecules are approximately 80 nucleotides in length. Lineage: Eukaryota; Viridiplantae; Streptophyta; Magnoliopsida; Solanales; Convolvulaceae. The record is from Rfam by way of RNAcentral.